RNAcentral lists this transfer RNA (77 nucleotides) under Methylorubrum extorquens. RNAcentral describes it as "tRNA-Met". It matches the Rfam family "tRNA". Rfam says of the family: Transfer RNA (tRNA) molecules are approximately 80 nucleotides in length. Their secondary structure includes four short double-helical elements and three loops (D, anti-codon, and T loops). The record is from RNAcentral. RNAcentral also lists the same sequence under 33 other names. Lineage: Bacteria; Pseudomonadati; Pseudomonadota; Alphaproteobacteria; Hyphomicrobiales; Methylobacteriaceae.
GGCGGGGUAGCUCAGCUGGUUAGAGCAGAGGAAUCAUAAUCCUCGUGUCGGGGGUUCGAGUCCCUCUCCCGCUACCA